UUCAUAGAACCUUCUAAUUGAUUGAUGAAAUCGAAAGCGAAACGUUGCGGUUUUUUGUCACUAAUUUGCAUCAUCUCCCUCUUGGCAUGGCCAAGUAUAGGAGAAAGUAAUAUUAGGGUAAAAAGAAAGAUGGAGAAUAAAAAGUGUUGAACAAGUUGAAGUGCCAUGAGUAGUGAGUUGUAGUAGUAUCAAUGAUCAUUGAGAAAUAUAUGGUGAAUGAAGAU
Molecule: long non-coding RNA, 224 nt
Filed under: Erythranthe guttata (spotted monkey flower)
Lineage: Eukaryota; Viridiplantae; Streptophyta; Magnoliopsida; Lamiales; Phrymaceae
Description: long non-coding RNA (EGUT_LNC000637)
Source: RNAcentral